RNA transcript from Musa acuminata AAA Group (dessert banana), 947 nucleotides. RefSeq lists it as uncharacterized. NCBI's taxonomy places the organism in Eukaryota, Viridiplantae, Streptophyta, Magnoliopsida, Zingiberales, Musaceae. The record is from RefSeq and is a predicted model, not a curated record. The transcript is spliced from 3 exons.
GGAAAUCGAACAAAAAUAGACCACAACUCCAUUUGAUGAAGUAGUAGUAGUAGUCGUGGAAGAAGGAGAAGAAGAAGAGAACUCGAACCUCUCGAAGCGAUGGCGGCGCCGACGAUCGCCUCCGCUUGCUUCUCUUCUCUCUCCCCUUUAUCUCCCCGCUUCUCCAAUGGAAGACCCUCGCGAAUCCUCGCCAUGGCGCCCAAACAGAAGGUCAACCGAUACGACGACAACUGGAAGAAGCAAUGGUACGGAGCGGGUCUCUUCGCGGAGGGAAGCGAGGAGUUGUCCGUCGACGUCGUGAAGAAGCUGGAGACGCGCAAGGUGCUAUCCGGCGUGGAGAAGUCCGGGCUGCUCUCCAAGGCGGAGGAGCUCGGCAUCACGCUCUCCUCCAUCGAGAGGCUGGGCUUCCUGUCCAAGGCGGAGGAGCUCGGCCUUCUCAGCCUCCUGGAGCGCGCCGCUGGGUUCUCCCCCUCUGCUCUCGCCUCCGUCUCCCUCCCUCUCCUCGUCGCCGCCGUCGCCGCCAUCGUCCUCAUCCCGGACGACUCCGCCGCGCUAGUAGCCGCGCAGGCCUUUCUUUCCGCCGCUCUCGGCGUCGUUGCCGCUGGUCUCUUCGUCGGCUCCGUCGUCCUGGGCGGGUUGCAGGAAUCGGACUGAGUGAUGGACGAGUUUGGCUUUUGUAUACCGAGUUCAACUCGCGUGGAUCGGAGGGAGGUGACAGCCCAGACUACUUACUGCAUGGUGGCACCCUCUGAAGAUCCGAUAGUAAACAACUAAUGAACCACAAUCCUCACAUCAACAUGCCCCAGUUAGCACCGGGAGAAUUUAAUGGAUCAGCUGUCAUUCAAUUUUCAGUGAUCAGUCAUUGUUGCAAAGAAAUGUAACGAAGUAGGACAACCAAAAGUCUGUAAUCAGACAGUGCAAUCGGUUAUACUGUUCAUGUUGUUGCU